RNAcentral lists this ribosomal RNA (260 nucleotides) under uncultured bacterium. Its description in RNAcentral is "partial 16S ribosomal RNA". It matches the Rfam family "Bacterial small subunit ribosomal RNA", at positions 28 to 291 of the family's 1533-position model. The record is from RNAcentral.
GACGAACGCUGGCGGCGUGCUUAACACAUGCAAGUCGAACGAUGAAGCCUUUCGGGGUGGAUUAGUGGCGAACGGGUGAGUAACACGUGGGCAAUCUGCCCUGUACUUUGGGAUAAGCCUUGGAAACGGGGUCUAAUACCGGAUAUCACUUACCUCCGCAUGGGGUUUGGUUGAAAGUUCUGGCGGUACAGGAUGAGCCCGCCGGCCUAUCAGCUUGUUGGUGGGGUAGUGGCCUACCAAGGCGACGACGGGUAGGCCGG